Molecule: microRNA, 22 nt
Filed under: Homo sapiens (human)
Lineage: Eukaryota; Metazoa; Chordata; Mammalia; Primates; Hominidae
Description: hsa-miR-150-3p
Gene: hsa-miR-150-3p
Source: miRBase by way of RNAcentral
CUGGUACAGGCCUGGGGGACAG